GCCUAUUUUAAGGGUUGGAAAAUASGAACAACAGUUUAAACACCAAAGAAUUUGGCGGUGUCUUAAUUAAUUAGGGGAACCUGUGCCUUAAAUCGAUAAUCCACGAAAGUCUUACCUAAUAUUGAAACUCAGUUAGUGUACUGCCGUCUUAAGUAUACCUUUAUGAGCGUAUACAGAAAAUUAAAUUUAAGUUUAAUUAUACGUCAGGUCAAAGUGCAGCUUAUAAUUAGGGGGUAAUGGGUUACAAUCUAUAUAAUGAUUACGAAUAAAAGUAAUAAAUAC
This 282-nucleotide ribosomal RNA is filed under the name Placobdella sophieae. Its description in RNAcentral is "partial 12S ribosomal RNA". Lineage: Eukaryota; Metazoa; Annelida; Clitellata; Rhynchobdellida; Glossiphoniidae. The record is from RNAcentral.